AUUGAACGCUGGCGGCAUGCCUUACACAUGCAAGUCGAACGGUAACAGGUCUUCGGAUGCUGACGAGUGGCGAACGGGUGAGUAAUACAUCGGAACGUGCCCGAUCGUGGGGGAUAACGAGGCGAAAGCUUUGCUAAUACCGCAUACGAUCUACGGAUGAAAGCGGGGGAUCUUCGGACCUCGCGCGGACGGAGCGGCCGAUGGCAGAUUAGGUAGUUGGUGGGAUAAAAGCUUACCAAGCCGACGAUCUGUAGCUGGUCUGAGAGGAUGAUCAGCCACACUGGGACUGAGACACGGCCCAGACUCCUACGGGAGGCAGCAGUGGGGAAUUUUGGACAAUGGGCGAAAGCCUGAUCCAGCCAUGCCGCGUGCAGGAUGAAGGCCUUCGGGUUGUAAACUGCUUUUGUACGGAACGAAAAGCCUCUUUCUAAUAAAGAGAGGUCAUGACGGUACCGUAAGAAUAAGCACCGGCUAACUACGUG
RNAcentral lists this ribosomal RNA (482 nucleotides) under uncultured bacterium. RNAcentral's name for it is "partial 16S ribosomal RNA". It matches the Rfam family "Bacterial small subunit ribosomal RNA", at positions 30 to 507 of the family's 1533-position model. The record is from RNAcentral.